AGCUGCGAUAAAUAGUGCGAAUUGCAGACGCAUUGAGCACAAAGAUUUCGAAUGCACAUUGCACCAUUGGGUUGAUUCCCGAUGGUACGUCUGGUUGAGGGU
This 102-nucleotide ribosomal RNA is filed under the name Brugia malayi. Its description in RNAcentral is "partial 5.8S ribosomal RNA". It matches the Rfam family "5.8S ribosomal RNA", at positions 51 to 152 of the family's 154-position model. Rfam says of the family: 5.8S ribosomal RNA (5.8S rRNA) is a component of the large subunit of the eukaryotic ribosome. Lineage: Eukaryota; Metazoa; Nematoda; Chromadorea; Rhabditida; Onchocercidae. The record is from RNAcentral.